AGAUGAUUGAAAAAUGAGCCAAAUUCAUGCCUGUGUAAUUCCAAGGAAGCUGUACUGGAGGGAGAGGGGAACAUUUCCCAGCCAGCUUUACCAGUGACCUAUCCACUGGAUGACACGGCUUUUCAUUGCUUUCGGAGCACCUCGUGAUAGAAAUCAGUAUAUGUGAAAGAAGAAUCAGAUGGGACAUUUGAAUCCAAGAGGAAAUAUUGAGCUGUUGUAAAUAGACAGCAAAUGAAGAGAUCCGCUGAAGAACCAUGCCUAUUUACAACAGUACAGACAGCAGCAAUUCUUUUCAGCCGGGGGACAACAUUUACAGUGUUUGCAUCUAUACUGCAUUUGUACUAGCUGCUUGGAACCACAUGCUGAAGUGCAGUUUCCUGACUCCAUCCAGUGGCAAAGAGAAGGAAAUGCAAAUGGGUUCUUCAGCAGCUUUUAGGAACUAAAGACACCCAACUUGAUUCCGUGUGCAGCUCACAUG
Molecule: long non-coding RNA, 478 nt
Organism: Mauremys reevesii (Reeves's turtle)
Lineage: Eukaryota; Metazoa; Chordata; Testudines; Geoemydidae
Exons: 3
Source: RefSeq, a predicted model, not a curated record